CUUUUAGUGAACUCUACAUCGCUGCAUGUUCCUGGGGCAACUGUCAAUCAAAGUGACUCCCUCAGCCUAGGGCUGGCCCAGGGCCUGAGAAGGCCGACAGGACUCCCUCUCACAUGGACUGCUGAGCAGAGCACUGUGAACUGAGGGUACAGGCAGCGCUCCCCCAUUCUAAUGUGUGUGCCAGGAGAGGUGGCCAGGUGCUCCUGCUGAGGGAGGCCUGCUGCAUGUCCUAAACCCUGAGCUAUUGUUUCUGGGCCUGGUCUUGCAGUCCUGUUUACUCUAUGAGCUACACAAAAGGCCUACAACAAAGUCCCUUUUGGCUUAAGUUAGCCAGCUUUGGUUCCGUCACUUAACCUAUUGACUUAGCCGUUGUGAAAGUUCCUGGCAGGUAGAAAGAUGGCGGGAGGCAGUGGACAAUGUUAGUGGAGGGGCCUGCCGAAGAGGUGUCUGGGAGAAGAGAAGGCCUGAACUGUGAAUUGAAUAAAACUAAGGGACCUUUUUGGACCAGCAAAAACAAGGCUCAGCAGCAGGAAGAAGGGGAAAUAGGGAUUCCAUAAGCCAAGCAGUUGGCACAUUGAAGUCCCUAAGGGGGCAAGGGAUGUCAAAGAAACAGGACAAGAUGUUGCUCUGUACUUGAGGAUUUGGAAACUGAAAAAAUGAGAAACCGAAAGAGGAAAACAUCCAAGGACUCAGUCAGGACUCCACCAAUGGUCACAGCAAAACAGUACUUUACAGGCACCCCUUAAAAGUGAAACAAAAAUUGUUUCCAGGACACUCUGGACAACAGAAGUCAGUAUUCAUUUACCGUUUCGUUCAUUCAUUCAGCUUCUAUGCAUCUGCUAAGCACCUGCCAUAGGCUGGACAUCGAGCUAGAUGCGGAGAUCACACCACCGUCUCUCCCCACACAUUAUUUGUCAUCCAACAAGGAAGAGGGAUGAGAAGACAAGAUCAUCACAGCCAGAGAAGCAGCUCACACAGGUCCAGAGGGUCAGCACAUUCUUUGUGGUUGGAUGUCCAUGUGUCCUGAACGUCCAUCUCCGUGGGAGUGGAAG
This 1052-nucleotide long non-coding RNA is filed under the name Homo sapiens (human). RNAcentral describes it as "HSALNT0060209". The record is from RNAcentral. Lineage: Eukaryota; Metazoa; Chordata; Mammalia; Primates; Hominidae.